This 749-nucleotide long non-coding RNA is filed under the name Homo sapiens (human). Its description in RNAcentral is "HSALNT0072762". Lineage: Eukaryota; Metazoa; Chordata; Mammalia; Primates; Hominidae. The record is from RNAcentral.
UCUGUCAAACUAAGCGUAAGUGGUUCACAGUCUGUACCACAGCUAAAUUUAAAGGGCCUCAUAGAAAGAUUUUGGAAGUAUUUUCUCCUGCAUUUUUCAGAAAAGUGGCUGAGAACCCACUCUAUCAACAUUAAACAGCGGCAGUUCCUGUAAGUUUUUAAGGGUUAUUGGAAGAUGACUUUACUUGUCUUCAUACAGUUUCACCUAAAUUGUGUUGGUGCUGUUGCUUUAGGACCUUCAGACCUGGAUGGGGACGUAUGAUAAGGAUCCUGGUUCUCAGGCCUUCUGGUCUGCACUGUAGCUAUACCUCCAGCUUUCCUGUGCUGUCAGUUUGGAGACAGCAGGUCAUGAGACUUCACUGCAUUCAUAAUUAUGUGAGCCAGUUUGUCAUGGUAAAUAUGUAUGUAUGCAUGUAUGUAUCCAUCCAUCCAUCCUGUUGAUUCUGUUUCUCUGGAGAACGCUGAUUAAAACACCUCUCUGCCUUCAGAACCCUUUUUCUUUCCUCUGACGUAUUAAUACUUUGAAUUUUAUAGAGAGAUAUUACAUGAGCAGAUGUGGCAACAUUAUUGAAUAUAAAAUGGUUAAUUUUGCUGCAUCACCCAAUUUUCUUACUCUGAUAAAAACUAUAAUGUAAGAAAUGAGAUAAUAAUUAUAAGUGAUUAUGACAAGUGUAAUAAUAACAUCACUUUUAUGGGGAAAUAAGGAAAAGCAAUAAUUUAUAAUGAAAUAAAAACUAAUGAUCAACAUAC